This 497-nucleotide ribosomal RNA is filed under the name uncultured bacterium. Its description in RNAcentral is "partial 16S ribosomal RNA". It matches the Rfam family "Bacterial small subunit ribosomal RNA", at positions 28 to 507 of the family's 1533-position model. The record is from RNAcentral.
GAUGAACGCUGGCGGCGUGCCUAAUACAUGCAAGUCGAGCGAACAGAUGAGGAGCUUGCUCCUCUGACGUUAGCGGCGGACGGGUGAGAAACACGUGGAUACCCCACCUAUAAGACUGGUAUAACCUCGGGAAACCGGAGCAAAUACCGGAUAAUAUAUUGAACCGCAUGGUUCAAUAGUAAAAGUCGGUUUUGCUGUAACUUAUAGCUGGAUCCGCGCCGCAUUAGCUAGUUGGUAAGGUAACGGCCUACCAAGGCUACGAUGCGUAGCCGACCUGAGAGGGUGAUCGGCGGCACUGGAACUGAGACACGGACCAGACGACUACGAGAGGCAGCAGUAGGGAAUCGUCCGCAGUGGGCGGAAACCUGACGGAGCGGCGCCGAGUGAGUGAUGAAAGUGUUCGGAUCGUGAAGCUCUGUUAUGAGGGAAGAACAAAUGUGUAAGGAAAUAAAGACGUAGUGACGGUACCUGGUCAGGAAGCCACGGCUAACUACGUG